This 255-nucleotide ribosomal RNA is filed under the name uncultured bacterium. Its description in RNAcentral is "partial 16S ribosomal RNA". It matches the Rfam family "Bacterial small subunit ribosomal RNA", at positions 524 to 776 of the family's 1533-position model. The record is from RNAcentral.
UACGUAGGAUCCGAGCAUUAUCCGGAGUGACUGGGUGUAAAGAGUUGCGUAGGUGGCAUAAUAAGUAGCUAGUGAAAUCUGGUGGCUCAACCAUUCAGACUAUUAGCUAAACUGUUAAGCUCGAGACCGUUAGGGGUAACUGGAAUUUCUAGUGUAGGAGUGAAAUCCGUAGAUAUUAGAAGGAACACCAAUAGCGUAGGCAGGUUACUGGGACGGUUCUGACACUAAGGCACGAAAGCGUAGGGAGCAAACGGG